RNAcentral lists this ribosomal RNA (21 nucleotides) under Leucoagaricus vassiljevae. RNAcentral describes it as "partial 18S ribosomal RNA". Lineage: Eukaryota; Fungi; Basidiomycota; Agaricomycetes; Agaricales; Agaricaceae. The record is from RNAcentral.
GUAGGUGAACCUGCGGAAGGN